This 253-nucleotide ribosomal RNA is filed under the name uncultured bacterium. RNAcentral's name for it is "partial 16S ribosomal RNA". It matches the Rfam family "Bacterial small subunit ribosomal RNA", at positions 524 to 776 of the family's 1533-position model. The record is from RNAcentral.
UACGGAGGGUGCAAGCAUUAAUCGGAUUUAUUGGGCGUAAAGAGCGUGUAGGCGGCCAAACAGGUCAGCUGUGAAAACUCGAGGCUCAACCUCGAGACGUCGGUUGAAACCGUUUGGCUAGAGUCCGGAAGAGGAGAGUGGAAUUCCCGGUGUAGCGGUGAAAUGCGCAGAUAUCGGGAAGAACACCCGUGGCGAAGGCGGCUCUCUGGGACGGUACUGACGCUGAGACGCGAAAGCGUGGGGAGCGAACAGG